Molecule: RNA transcript, 3646 nt
Organism: Nerophis ophidion (straightnose pipefish)
Lineage: Eukaryota; Metazoa; Chordata; Actinopteri; Syngnathiformes; Syngnathidae
Gene: ppp1r3c2b
Gene name: protein phosphatase 1 regulatory subunit 3C2, duplicate b
Exons: 3
Source: RefSeq, a predicted model, not a curated record
UCGGAUAGUCGAACCUCGGAUUCAGGAGGAACAGUGUGGUUUUCGUCCUGGUCGUGGAACUGUGGACCAGCUCUAUACUCUCGGCAGGGUUCUUGAGGGUGCAUGGGAGUUUGCCCAACCAGUCUACAUGUGCUUUGUGGACUUGGAGAAGGCAUUCGACCGUGUCCCUCGGGAAGUCCUGUGGGGAGUGCUCAGAGAGUAUGGGGUAUCGGACUGUCUUAUUGUGGCGGUCCGUUCCCUGUGCUCAGUGCCAGAGCUUGGUCCGCAUUGCCGGCAGUAAGUCGAACACAUUUCCAGUGAGGGUUGGACUCCGCCAAGGCUGUCCUUUGUCACCGAUUCUGUUCAUAACUUUCAUGGACAGAAUUUCAAGGCGCAGUCAAGGCAUUGAGGGGUUCCGGUUUGGUAACCGCAGGAUUAGGUCUCUGCUUUUUGCAGAUGAUGUGGUCCUGAUGGCUUCAUCUGACCGGGAUCUUCAGCUCUCGCUGGAUCGGUUCGCAGCUGAGUGUGAAGCGACCGGAAUGAGAAUCAGCACCUCCAAGUCCGAGUCCAUGGUUCUCGCCCGGAAAAGGGUGAAAUGCCAUCUACGGGUUGGGGAAGAGACCCUGCCCCAAGUGGAGGAGUUCAAAUACCUAGGAGUCUUGUUCACGAGUGAGGGAAGAGUGGAUCGUGAGAUCGACAGGCGGAUCGGUGCGGCAUCUUCAGUAAUGCGGACGUUGUACCGAUCUGUUGUGGUGAAGAAGGAGCUGAGCCGGAAGGCAAAGCUCUCAAUUUACCGGUCGAUCUACGUUCCCAUCCUCACCUAUGGUCAUGAGCUUUGGGUCAUGACCGAAAGGAUAAGAUCACGGGUACAAGCGGCCGAAAUGAGUUUCCUCCGCCGUGUGGCGGGGCUCUCCCUUAGAGAUAGGGUGAGAAGCUCUGCCAUCCGGGAGGAACUCAAAGUAAAGCCGCUGCUCCUCCACAUGGAGAGGAGCCAGAUGAGGUGGUUCGGGCAUCUGGUCAGGAUGCCACCCGAACGCCUCCCUAGGGAGGUGUUUAGGGCACGUUCAACCGGUAGGAGGCCACGGGGAAGACCCAGGACAUGUUGGGAAGACUAUGCCUCCCGGCUGGCCUGGGAACGCCUCGGGAUCCCCCGGGAAGAGCUAGACGAAGUGGCUGGAGAGAGGGAAGUCUGGGUUUCCCUGCGUAGGCUGUUGCCCCCGCGACCCGACCUCGGAUAAGCGGAAGAUGAUGGAUGUAUGCUCUAAGGUGCACUUUGAUGCAGUGGCCACACAGAAACUAUGUUUGUGUAUUUAAAAUUUGGGCCCUCAAAGUGGUGCGUAUGUCAUCGUUUUAUAUUAGUUACACUAAUUAAAUGAUUAAUCCAACCAACAAAAUAUGAAUUUAAGCUUUUUUUCCUCAUCAAAUUGUUGUAACUUGCAGCAAAACAAUGCUUGAACACGUGCAACAAACAGGGUGCACUAUAUAUUGCACUAUAUAUUUUGCCAUAAUUAUAAAAAGGUUGUGAAAGGUGGAUUGGGGCAUACUUAGUAGAAGUAAUGGAAUGUCUGCAGUAGUUUUCGUAACAAAUUGUACUAAAUUCAAAUGCUAUUAGGCCCUAUCUUUUCUGAUCUGUCUCUCACUUAAUGUGCGUUUCAUGUCCGCCCUUCAAACUGCGUUGUCUUUCCUGAGACAUAAUUGUGCUAAUAGCGCUGUUAUGUAAUUUUCAGCAGUGUUCAUUGUGUGCCCUCACUCAAAUUACCAAGUAAUUAGACCUAAUGUAGCAUCAUGGAGCACUGAUUGAAGAGCGCUAACAGGCAUUCUCUUCCCGAUGAAGCGAUGCAAUAAUAUUGUUACAGAAUUGUUCACGCCGCAUGAUAAGGUUUUUGAGUGGAAUGCAAUAAAUGUUGAAAAUAGAUUUUUAACAUGGAUGAUUGUGAUCAUGUCCUCUAUAUUUUCAAUACAUUUAGAGCUUUUUCAGUAGAUUUGGAAUUUUACAGUAAUUAAUGUCAUUUGUUUGUUUGGUUCAAACAUCUCAGUAUGUGUCAGGUUUCUUGUGCACACUUUCACCUAGCGACACGUUAGAUGCCUGACACGCUGACAGUGGCCUGUAGUCCUUCCCUGCGUCACACAUGCUGGCACUCUGACACAGUGAUCCCUUCAGGACACGUGCCAGCCUGCAGAGCUCAUGCAUGACCUGCUCUGACCGCAUUUGGGGCGGGUGAGGCGGAUAUUUCAUUUAAAUCUUGAUUUAAGUCACAAGCAAAUGUUACUAGAGAUGUGACAUUCGUGAUUGAGUCAAAUCUUCUAAAUUACUUUUUUGAAUGAAUAAUGAGAACCGAUUUGCAUUCAUUUUUCUGGUUAAUUGUUUGUCCUUUGGAUUUGUAAAGUAGUUGAGGUGUAUGCACUGGGUAGCUUAGUACAAUCUUGAAUGCACCUUUUUUCCUACCGGUAAUCUUGAUUUUAUUCCUAUUUUUAUGUUUUAUGUACAAUAGGGACUGCAGAUGGAAAUUAGCUAUUUAACUAUAAUCUGGUACAGAACAUAUCUGUCUUUUAACUUAAUGUUUCUGUGCAUUGUCCCUUUAAAUAAAGACUAAACUACUAAUAAGACAUUUUUUUGCUAUUUAUUAUUUGCUUAUUUUAUCUGUACUGGUGAGGGAAAAUUCAAAAUAGUGAUCUCAUUGUCAAUACAUACGGGAUGGGAUAUGGCACCAACCUAUGAAAUGUUUACAAUAAAGACGCAAACCAAAUUCUUUAAAUAUUAGUGUUUUAGAAUAAUUUCCAUCAAUGGAGCUACAUUAGUGGAAUGUGUAAAUUUGAAUUAUUCUGACCCAAAUCUUUUUUUACAACUGAUUCAUUCUUUGAUAAAAACAAGUAAUUUCUGUAAAAAAAAUUAAAAAAACUAUUUGAAAAGUAAAAUUCCUUAAGAUCUGGCUACUUUCAAAUUAAAUUAAAUUAAAAUAAAUACCUGAUGAGUAAAAUAUAUUUUUAAAAAAAAGGUCAAUAAAUUAUUAAAGAAGGACUAAAGGUUACAAUUAUCAUUUGAAUGUAAAUGAUCUGAUAUCUGCAUCACACAGAGUUGUAAAAAAAGUGUUAGAAUAUUUAACUGGUCACAAGAAUAAAGGGGGCGGACAACAUGAUAACUUUGAAUAUAAAUAGAACGACGUGCAAGAAUACACUGUGGGUGAAAGGCUCGACGUGGUUCUCGCAGGACUACUAUCUGCUUUCAAUAUAAUAAAGUGUGUCCCUAAAUCUGCACCAGAUCAUCAGUAUGGAGACAUCCAGCACAACUAAGCGGCUUGGAGCAGAGGGGGAGAGAGGAUUGGUGAGACUGAAAAGUCUGGAGAAAUCUUUGCAUGAAAAACAUACGUCAGUCUACCCCAGGGCAGCUGUGGCUACUGAUGUAGCUUACCACCACCAGGUGUGAACGAAUGUUGGGUCCCACUUCUCUGAGAGCGCUUUGAGUGUUUAGAAAAGCGCGAUAUAAAUCUAAGUUACUAUUAUUAUUAUUAAAAAGCUUGUUUACCCUGCACGCUUGAAUCCUGUGCCGUGUCUGACGGUGGCACUGCAAACGACUUCCCCAAAAAUAUAAAUUAAAAAAAAAAAACAUUUCCGGUAUAGUACUGAAUAUGAUUCAUUAGUAUCGCAGUGCUAUACUAAUACUGGUGUU